GGCUCAGUAGUGGAUGAUCCCACACCUGCUUCUUGUGUGAAUCUACCAUGUACCAGCCGGAGAAGCCUGUUUGAAUCAGGCCUGAGCCA
Molecule: non-coding RNA, 89 nt
Organism: Mycena galericulata
Lineage: Eukaryota; Fungi; Basidiomycota; Agaricomycetes; Agaricales; Mycenaceae
Source: the annotation of a GenBank genome assembly